CGAUGAUGGGAGGAGCGGAUCCAUGGGAGAGGGGCUGAGACCUUUGAUUCGGAUGAAGGUCUGGCCGCGGGAUCUCGGGAAGACACCAUUCACGGACGCGUGAUGUUGGGAUGGAGUUCUGGGAUGGAAGAAGAAGGCAGGCGAUCAACGGGGCUUCACGAGCAGCGGAGGAGCUGAGAGCGUGAUCGACGGAGCUUGACGCUGAU
Molecule: long non-coding RNA, 206 nt
Filed under: Phoenix dactylifera (date palm)
Lineage: Eukaryota; Viridiplantae; Streptophyta; Magnoliopsida; Arecales; Arecaceae
Description: long non-coding RNA (PDAC_LNC014923)
Source: RNAcentral